CCUACGGGAGGCUGCAGUGAGGAAUAUUGGUCAAUGGGCGAGAGCCUGAACCAGCCAAGUCGCGUGAAGGAUGAAGGAUCUAUGGUUUGUAAACUUCUUUUAUAUGGGAAUAAAGUGAGGAACGUGUUCCUUUUUGUAUGUACCAUAUGAAUAAGCAUCGGCUAACUCCGUGCCAGCAGCCGCGGUAAUACGGCGGAUGCGAGCGUUAUCCGGAUUUAUGGGGUUUACAGGGUGCGUAGGUGGUGAAUUAAGUCAGCGGUGAAAGUUUGGGGCUCACCCAUAAAAUUGCCGUGGAAACGGGUUGAGGUGAGGAUAUUUGAGGUAGGCGGAAGGCGUGGUGUAGCGGUGAAAUGCAGAGAUAUCACGCAGAACUGCGAUUGCGAGGGCAGCUUACGAAACUAGAACUGACACUGAAGCACGAAAGCGUGGGGAUCAAACAGGAUUAGAUACCCGAGGAGUG
Molecule: ribosomal RNA, 460 nt
Filed under: uncultured bacterium
Lineage: Bacteria
Description: partial 16S ribosomal RNA
Rfam family: Bacterial small subunit ribosomal RNA
Source: RNAcentral